AGCGAACGCUGGCGGCAGGCCUAACACAUGCAAGUCGAACGAACCUUUCGGGGUUAGUGGCGGACGGGUGAGUAACCCGUGGGAACGUGCCUUUAGGUUCGGAAUAACUCAGGGAAACUUGUGCUAAUACCGAAUGUGCCCUUCGGGGGAAAGAUUAAUCGCCUUUAGAGCGGCCCGCGUCUGAUUAGCUAGUUGGUUGAGGUAAUGGCUCACCAAGGCGACGAUCAGUAGCUGGUCUGAGAGGAUGAUCAGACACAUUGGGACUGAGACACGGCCCAAAAUCCUACGGGAGGCAGCAGUGGGGAAUCUUGCGAAAUGGGCGAAAGGCUGACGCAGCCAUGCCGCGUGAAUGAUGAAGGUCUUAGGAUUGUAAAAUUCUUUCACCGGGGACGAUAAUGACGGUACCCGGAGAAGAAGCCCCGGCUAACUUCGUG
Molecule: ribosomal RNA, 434 nt
Filed under: uncultured bacterium
Lineage: Bacteria
Description: partial 16S ribosomal RNA
Rfam family: Bacterial small subunit ribosomal RNA
Source: RNAcentral